GCUGCAGGUGCGGCUAGCAGCUUGACCGGCGGCACGACUCAACACGUGCGAAGCCUAGACAGGUCUCGUCACCGGGCUCACGGUUCUGUAAAAUGUCCCCCAGGAUUGUUUCUGGGUUCUUCUGCUAGAGUCUGACACUACUGCUUCGUCGCCGUUUCAUGGAACCAGGCUGCCAACACAAGCAUGCAGAGCAACUGCCUUUCCCAGUGUGCUGUGUGUGAUGCGCUUGCAUUGAUCUGCAAGUGAAGAGCUCCAG
RNAcentral lists this long non-coding RNA (256 nucleotides) under Dermacentor andersoni. RNAcentral describes it as "uncharacterized LOC126530823". Lineage: Eukaryota; Metazoa; Arthropoda; Arachnida; Ixodida; Ixodidae. The record is from RNAcentral.